This 122-nucleotide ribosomal RNA is filed under the name Petromyzon marinus (sea lamprey). The record is from RNAcentral. Lineage: Eukaryota; Metazoa; Chordata; Hyperoartia; Petromyzontiformes; Petromyzontidae.
GCCUACAACCCAAAUCACCCCGAAUGUCUGAUUUCGUCUAAUCUGGGAAGUUUAGCAGGGUUGAGCCCGAUUAGUACUUGCUUGGAAGACUGCCAAUAAAAAAAUAUCAGCUGUUGUAGGCU